GACGAACGCUGGCGGCGUGCUUAACACAUGCAAGUCGAACGGUGAAGGGACCGGUUUUUGCUGGUUCUGGAUGAGUGGCGAACGGGUGAGUAACACGUGAGUAACCUGCCCCCUUCUUCUGGAUAACCGCAUGAAAGUGUGGCUAAUACGGGAUAUUCUGCGCCUGCUGCAUGGUGGGUGUGGGAAAGAUAUUGUUUCGGUGGGGGAUGGGCUCGCGGCCUAUCAGCUUGUUGGUGGGGUGAUGGCCUACCAAGGCGGUGACGGGUAGCCGGCCUGAGAGGGUGGACGGUCACGCUGGGACUGAGACACGGCCCAGACUCCGACGGGAGGCAGCAGUGGGGAAUAUUGCACGAUGGGCGCAAGCCUGAUGCAGCGACGCCGAGUGAGGGAUGGAGGCCUUCGGGUUGUAAACCUCUUUCGCCAGUGAAGCAGGCCUGUCCCUUUGGUGGGUGGGUUGACGGUAGCUGGAUAAGAAGCGCCGGCUAACUACGU
This 492-nucleotide ribosomal RNA is filed under the name uncultured bacterium. RNAcentral's name for it is "partial 16S ribosomal RNA". It matches the Rfam family "Bacterial small subunit ribosomal RNA", at positions 28 to 506 of the family's 1533-position model. The record is from RNAcentral.